This 63-nucleotide transfer RNA is filed under the name Smaragdina rufimana. RNAcentral describes it as "tRNA-Gly". Lineage: Eukaryota; Metazoa; Arthropoda; Insecta; Coleoptera; Chrysomelidae. The record is from RNAcentral.
AUUUGCAUAAUAUAAAUAUUAUAUUUGACUUCCAAUCAGAAAAUCUAAAUCUUAGUGUAAAUA